Molecule: long non-coding RNA, 20799 nt
Filed under: Gallus gallus (chicken)
Lineage: Eukaryota; Metazoa; Chordata; Aves; Galliformes; Phasianidae
Source: RNAcentral
CAGCAGUGUGUCCUUGUGCAUUAGAAGAUAACUCUGUGCUGAGCCAAGGGCAUGCUGGACAUUAAUGAUUCUUCCUCAUUGUUCAGUUAUUGUGAGAGCAUUAUCUGGAGAACUCUGUGAAGUGUUAGUUCCCCAGUACAAGAAAGUCAUUGACAUGCUGGAGCAAGCUGGUGCAAGGAAGAUGGUCAAACAGAGGAAAACUCACCCAGGAAGGAGGCUCUGCCCUUCAAGAUAUUCAGUACACAAUUGGGCAAAGAUCUGAAGUAACUAUGAAGAAAAAUCCUGUGCAGACAGGAGGGCUUAUGCUUAAGACCAUUGGAUGCUGCACUGGAUUUCAAGAUUCUCCUCUUCAAGAUCACCUACUUUGCACAGCCUUAUUCUGUAAAAAGAAAAAGAGAGCAAGAGACAGAGAGGAAUGUGCCCAGGACUCUGUGGUACCCAGGUCAGACAAGCCCAAAAAUCUCUUCCCGGGCUCUGCUCCAAUGAAUAUUUAAUCAUUCUAUGCAGAGUGUGAAAGAUGGCACGAGAAAGAUUUAGGCUUCCAGCCUAGAAAAAUCUGGCACCUUCUUAUAAUGUGGUAAAUACUGGGCAAUGAAAGGCUUUGAAGCCAGGUCUCCUCUCUCCCAGAGGUGUGUUUCAAUUGCAAGGCUCCUGAAGAAAAGCAGAGUUCCUCUUCUUUGCCUUCGUCAUCCUGUAGAGAGAAAAUAAAGAGGCUAAGUUUGCCUCACUGGAGCCAGAGAACAAGCUAAGUGUUCUUCUGUCUAUCCUGUGAAUCCUGAUGGGAUUUUAGCUAGAACUGAAAAUCCCCAGAGUUCAGGCUCUCGGGAUAUGUGCUGAGCAAAAUAUUACGGUGCUUAUGGUGCUUAAGUCACAGCUUACAGUGACUAAAGACUUAACCUGUGGAAACUUUGGAGUACUUUGAUAUGAUAUUUGCUAACUGUAUCAACUCUGUUGUUUGGAGGAAAUACCUUUUUGUACACUCCCAGUGGAACACUAACAAACUUUGAUCCUUCUGCAACUUUCUGUUUAUGGCAUAUUCAGGUUCCACAAGUUAAUAUUCAUAAGAUAUGUUUUCUAAGAAAGGUUUAAUAGCUUACUGUAAUGUCAAAAUUCUUCUAAAAGGAUAUCAGUAAUGGUACCAUCUGUAAGCUGUUCCAUGUAUAUCCAACAAAGGAAAACAGUGUGAGAGGACUGGAAUGUCUCAAAAAUAAGAAGAAAAGAUCUACUAACUGUCAACAACUAUUUAAAGACUACUUCUGCAUGGACCAUUUGUAGAACCAUUAGAGCAGAUUUGUCACUUAACUCCGUAUCAGAAGAGCUGCCUAACAUGACUCCUUGUAGUUGAGGUUUUGCUCCUGUAAGGCUUCGCUUUGGAUUGCUCAAAAAUCAUGCAAACACAGUAUGACUGGAUUCAACAGGGAAAAAACAAAACACCUAAAUGUACAGUCUCAAAAGGGGAAAGGAAAAUCACAUCUGAUUUUUCCUUCAGUACUUCUACACAGAAUUUUUCUUCAAACUGCACUUUUACUUUUGUUCAGAACAGUGAUAUUUCUGUGCUAAUGUUUACAGUUGUAUUUAUUAGCUUUGUUUAUUUUUCUUUAAGUUAAUUCUGAUGGAUAUAAUCAUAAAUUUUUCAAACACUGUGCUAUUAAAUGCAACUCCAGUGAAAAAACAAAAAGCAGAAGAGAAACCUAUGUAGUUUUCAUCCUUUCUUACAGAUUUCUCUUUAAGGAUCUCUGUACUUGAAAUAUUUGUAGUAGUUGAAAAAAAAUAACUAAGGAAAAAGAAGUUGCUUUAUCUUGUUGCUUUUUCAAACAUUUAUUUUCCUUGAUAAGUCCAUUAAUAGGGUCAUCUACCUUCUUUGCAUUCUAUUUAGAUCACACAUGAAAAAAUCAGUAACAAAUUACACUUGUUUUGAAAUGAGGCUAUUUUGUCAUUGUUUAGCUGCAGAGGGUAGCUUUGUUGUUGUUGUUUUGUUUGUAUGUUUUAAAAAGAUUUCUAUGAAGAUCUCUUCUGUGUAUUUGUAUGUCAUGUAAGUCUCCACUGAAGAUCAUUAAAAAUGUUAUUUUCAGUUUUGACACCAAUGCAAAACUUAAUUUCAUCAAGAUAUCUCUAAUAAUUAUGUUCAAAUGUAUCCCGAAGUUUAGCAGCUGUUUCCAUAGACUCAUACUUUGCUCUUAUUCUAUUUAGAUGACUUUGAUAGAAAGAUCUGAGAGGUUUGUUUAAAUGAACAUUCUAUGAGUUGUGUUGAGUUAAAAGCAUUAACAUGAUGAAUACCUCUUUCCCCCUCUGCAUGACUUCUCAUUUCAUAAGAAAAAAAGUUUUCUAUCUCCACACAGUAGAGAUGCAUCAGAUACUGAUAUGAGACUUGUUUGUCUGAGCACAGGAAAUAUAAGGUUUUUAGAGAUGUUUUGACACCUCUGCAUCUUGUUUUCGAUUUGGACCUGUAGACAUAGUUUGCCACCUUGUGGCAAAAAUGCUUUUCAGAACUGCAGUGAAUAGAACUACUUCUAUAAGUCCUAUCUGAUUGGAAUUGUUGUCUCUAACAUAGGACCAUAGGGAAGACAAGUGUCUUUAAAACAUGGACUAUCUUGUCUAGGAACCAAAAUACAAUUUUAUUUUUAAAGGAAUGUCUCAAUUUAACUAGCUGAUAUAUUCUGCUAAUAUCUGUAGCCAAGACAAAAGCAUUUAAAAAUUCUUCACAAUAACCUUGGAAGUCAUAUAGUUAAUGCAGGCUAUUGAAAGCUAGGUAACUAAGGCAAAAUCUUUCAUGUAUAGAGAUGCAAUCUUAUUAAGGGAGAAGAUUAUUUUUAAUUUUUUUUAUUUCUUAAAGACAGCGGUUACGAAGACCAAGGUAUUAUAAACAGCUAACGUUUCAGUUUGGUGCUGAAAUCAUAAAUAAACACUGGAAAACUGGAUUGGAUCAACGAGAUCAAAAAAUAUUACAGAAUUAUUUUGUGUUCUUUACCAGAUAUAUUUUAAGCAAAAACAAUAGCUUGCGUAGAAUUCCAUGUGUUCAACAAAAAAUGUAGCAGUAAAAGUCCUUUCUAUCUAACUCAGAACUAUAACUACAGUCAACAUGUGCAUCUAAUUGUUAGGCAAUAGAAUCUACUUCCGUUUUUUGGGACAUUCACUAUAAGGCCUAUAAGCAAGGGUUCUGAGCAAAAAUCUGAAUUGUGCUGAAUUGUGAACUGGAAAAAAAGAGCCUCUAAAUUUCAAUCUAUCAGAGAAGUGCUUUAGAAAGGAAGUGUACAUAUGGGUCACUCUGAAAGAAACGCUUCACAUUCAUUUCCAUGGAAAUUACAACAGAUAUGAAGAGCACAAUAAUAUUUUUUGAAAGAGCAACUUCUCAUUUACAAAACAAUAUUUUUCAAUGGUCACCACCGUUAGCCAUGUAUUUUCACCAGCAAUGAACAAGCGUGCAUGCUGCACUCCUAAAAAUUUGCACUAUCUGAGGUGACCCACUGUUCUUGUUGCCACCCAUUGCCUCACUGUGCUGAUGUCCACAGUUUGAUCUCCAUAAAUGUUUAACAAUCGUUCCUGAAUGUCAGUGGGUGCAAUUCCUCCUGUGUGGAGGAAUUUGAUGACACACAUUUCCCUCAUACUUACUUCCAUGUCAGACACCAUUUUGUCACACUGCCCUCUGCUGCCACCUGUUACAAGGCAACAAAAUGUAAUGGGAUAUUUGCGGGAAGGUUCAACAUCUACUGCUGUACCACCAACAUUCACCUUUGAUGUUAUGGUCCAACAUAAUAAAAUAGGAGCCCUGACUUUUGGAGCACCUCAUGUACCUCUACAUUAUUUUACUUAAUUUCUCCAUAGCAUCCAUGUACGUCUACAUUAUUUCACUUAAUUGUUCCAUAGCAUCUCUUCUUUCCCCCAGUUUUUGAUCUUCCUACUGAUAUUUCCUUCCAUCAAAGCAGUUACCUGAAAUGCUUUUCUGUUAAUUAACUAGUAAUUAGUAAGAAAGAAAAGCUAUUCUUAAUUGGAUCAGACAGUUUGUAGUUUAUUUCAAAGGAUCAACAGGCUAAGUUAGCUUAUGGAAGUGCAGGAUUUGCUCAGGUUGAAUUGAAAUUGGCAGCCUAAGGAAGUGGUGGAGUCACUGUCCCUGGAGAUCUUCAAGAAACAUGGAGUUGUGACACUGAGGGACAUGGCUUAGUGGGCAUGGUGGUGAUGGGCUGACAGUUGGACAAGAUGGUCUUUGUAGUAUUUUAUAAACUUAAUUAUUCUAAUAACUCAAGUUUCAGUUUGACUUGUCUUAUAUUUUUUUAAUGUAAAUUCAGUUUUGUCUAGAACUCUUUUCUUCUUCCAAAAAAGUGGCCCAAAAGAUUGCAUCCAGAUAGUCUUUUGUUGUGUAUAAGUUUUAUUGCUUUUGCACUGAGGUUCUGAGGCAUAAGGUAGAUGUGAAAGAAAAAUUACUCUCACUUAGGUUGAUUUUAAUUUCCAAUACGUUCUUACUGUCCUAAUAGAUUAGUUACUUAACACCAGCUACAGAAAAGAAUAACCAACUCUUUUUUGUAUACAGCUAUUCACACAAAAAGAAGAGCAAUACUUUACAGGAAAUGAUUUUUCCAAUCUGCAAAUGUUGUGUUUUCCAUCAAGAUUUUACUUUUAAACUGUAGAAGAGUUUAUAAACUAUACAAAAAAUAAAGAGCAAUUAGUGUAGUUACUCUGAUGUGGAAAAGUUCUGUGACUAAUCGUCAAGUCCUUCUGUGGCAUGUAAGUACAUUUUCAGAUAUAAAACAUGGUUCUCAGGAUGACUUUUUCUCCAUGUAGUAAGGAAAGUUUCUCUGCCUGUUUGGAAUUGAAAAAUGAAAUCAGACCACACAGUUAUUUCUCAAAGAGAUAGAUCUUCCAGUCUUGCUCUUAUGAAUGGGUCUUUCCUGUCUUCUCACCCUUUCUGUUUGAAGAUAUAUAUCAUUUACACGGCUUAUUUUCGACUUGUAGAUUGAAACUAUAUUAACAUAUUAUCCUGUUUAAUCUUGCUUUAUAGGCUGACGUUGCUAUGCCUAUAUUUAUUUGUGGUUUUCCUGCUUUAGAAUGCAGAUACAAGCCCCCCUUUACACUCUGAUUAACAAUUAAUGCAAUCCAAAAUGAGAGGAAACUAGAUGGCUUUAGUCAACUUCAUCUCUCCUUAUCUAUAUGCUGGACCAUAUGCUGGAUUUAUCUUACCUGAUAAGAUUGAAGAAACCUUAAGAUUUUUUUCACUUGCUGCAGCCAUUUUGAGAAUCAGGAAUAAGAAAAGCAAAUGGUUAACCCAGGAUUUGUCAUUUUUCUCUAUUCAAAAUGUAAGAAGCAUUCUAUUUUUUUAACACUAAUAAUAUUGAAAAUCAAUUCAGAGCAGAUUGAUUCCUUUCCUCCCUUUGGUUCCAGGAAUCUUUUUGUUCCUUAGUGUCCCUUGUGUUUGGCUGUCAUUCAGAGAACAGAAAACUUGAUUUUUAUUAUAAGAACAGAAUGCUUCAGGCUUAGGAGCUUCCUGACGUGUGAAUUAAAUGGAUUUAAUUUAAUCAGCAGAUCAGUCAGUCAUACACUGACCUACGCUAUUUUUCCUUCUUGAACAUUUAAUGGUAACCAUGCACCUAGGAGCACAAAAUAAUAACUUACUUUUCAGCUCUUAGCAACCAAAAAAAGUCAGCAUAACAUACAGAUGAUAAAUAUUCUAGCACUUGGUAGGCUGCAAUGACUACCAAGCUGUACUUUUAAACAAAUGAGUUGUAGAACAAACUCAAGAUUUUUAUUUCAGGGAGAUGAAAGCUACAUUUUCAUGUAAACCUGACAUCCAGUUCUUUGAAGAAAAGUAGAGAAACACCACUAAAUGUUACGUGCUUUCAGUAAAAUUAUGGAUGCCAUCUAAGUUAAAAGUGCAGUAACUAAUCAUAUUUUUUUUCUCCCUAAGUUACUAGCCUUUAAGCUAAUAUGAAAGAUAUUCAGCUUUUAGUAUGGAUAAAUUAGUCAGUCAUUAGAAGUAGCUGCCUAAUUAGGAAGAAAUGUUCCUAGCAGCUGAAGUAUGAACAGCUGCAGAUAAUGUUACUGCGUACUUUGGGUAGUUUAACCAAUUUAUUCUUCUCUUCAUGAUCUAGCACAGUAUAUAAACUACCUUGAGGAGAAUAACACAUAAUGUAGGUAAGUGUUGUGUAAGUUUGUAUCAUUCAAAAGUUUUGUCUCUAAGCAAAUUAUCUUUGAAAUCUCUAAACAAUAUUGUGUUAAUGAAUUUAAAAUUCAUUCCUUAGCAAUUAUUUGAUUGCCAAACCUAAUUAACAACGAAUAUUCUAGACUGUAUGAAAUGUUCAAAAAAAUAUGGUAUUAACAGUUGUAAGAAUUUGCAUACAUAAGCCUGAAGUUUUUUUCAAAAUCUUUUUCAUUAAAAUUCAUUCUCACUUUUCUAAGAUGCGGUAGAGUCAGUGAAUGCCAGUAGAAGGGGGUACACGUUAAGUUACUUUGGGAGGCAGCCCAAAGACUAUUUUAAACUGUUGUGUUUUUUUUUAAUUAAGGGAAAAAAGAAAAACAUCAUUCUUCUACCAAGCAUUGACUGAGACUUUCAUCUUAAGAGUUAGACUCAAAUCUUCUAUUAAUUUUGUUAAACACUCCUUGUCUGCAUUCCUGAAAUUCCUACGAAUUUUUGCCUUAAGCUAAAUGACAAGUAUUUGAAAACAUUAUCUAUGAUUUCAUGAAGAUUUUUUUUUCUUAGUAAUUUUAGGUCAGAACUCUUCCUACUUUUAACCAUAAAAUGUAGAUUGGGAUCUAGAUAAAUGCACAUAGGUGGCCAUUUUAUCUCUCUAACAAAUCAAACCCAAAACCUCAGGCAUAAGCACCUUUAGGGAGUUCAGAUUCAUGUUUGAUUCCAAAUGCUGUGGCUUACACUCACUUCAACAGGUACAGAAAUGGUAAUCAGAAAUUAGAGGCUUCAUCUCAUGCUGUUUGAAGGGAACCUUCGAGGGAUGUGUCAUCAUCUCUUUCUAUAUUGGGGAAUUAUGGAUGUUAAAAACCACCCAACAAGUAUAUUAAGGCAUUCAUGUUUUCUUCUGUACACAGAGUCCAAUUAAGUUUUCAUGGGUUCAUGCAGGACUUAGUGGGUUUCCUUAUUACAGAAUUUUUCUGGAACCCUUGGGAUGAAAUCAACAGUCUCAUGUAUGUAAAUAAAAUUGCUGUCUUUGGCAUCCGUGUGUGAGGGUUUUGACUUGACUUACUAAAGCAGCAAACCUCAUGAAACUUCUGCUGUUAGUGUGCCCAUCCAUGUGCAUUUCUGAUUUUGCUCUUCCAUUCUCUUCCCAGUGAAACUGAUACUUUAUUAAAAGAAUUCAGCAAGAGAGUAGAAGUACCAAAUAAGUUCCUAUAUCUUUUGUGAAAAUGGACAAGCAGCUUCAGCAAGAGAACAAAUCUACAUGUUUAUGUCUAUUGGAGGAAAAAAGAGGAUGUCCAUGUUCAUGCCUCUCCCCCACAGGCAGAGGUUUUAAGCAGAUACCAGACACAGGGAAAUUUUCAAAAGUUUCGAAAGUCAAUAAAGCAUGAAGCAGAAAUAUAUGGAGCGCAAGCUUUCCUUAUUUCCUGUGGUUGCAGAACUCCUCAUUUAAGUAAUUAGUCUUCAUGACAAUAUACAAAUAGCUUAUAUAAAAAGAAUGCUUCUCCUACGGUCAUUUUUUAUGAGAGAGCAGAUGAAACAACAGUUGGGCAAGAGAUUUCCCUUUAUAAAUUAGCCUAACAACUGCAGGGUCAAUUACCUCUUUUCCUCCCAUACAGCUGUCUGUUCCUAGCUAUGUUCUUGUUGCCUGGAAGGCAUAAGAGUAUGUGAUAGGUACAUUGUUUUAAUUAGCAUUCUUGCAUGAACUUAUAUGUAAUUAAUGUUAGAUUUAGUGCAUGAUGAAGCAGCUUGAAAGCUGUUAGAAGGAAGGCAGCUGGAUGAGAUUUUUGCUUUGAUCUCUUAUAUACCUUGAAUCUACCAGGAAACUGCCUGACUUCCUUCUAAUGUACAUUGCCUUGUGUCUUAAGUACAGCUCAUUGCUUUUCAGUCUCAUUUCCUAAAAGAAGUCCUCACUGAGCAAUACAUGUCCUUGGUCUUGACAUGGAAAAACAAUUAUGAUUAUUUCUAGAAUUUCUGAAACAAGUUCUGUGAGAUAUACUUUUUCAGAAAUGCCUGAACAAUACCUUGGCUUUUCAAUCGUGCUAUGAUUCUACAAUAUCUCAUACUUUGCCCUAGAGUCAUGUAAGAUGUCACUGCUGAAAGAUUUUUUGUGAUGCUAUGUCACUCUGCAGUAUUGUCUUUUCAUCAUGAAAACUUGAAGUCUGCAUAAGCUGAUUUGAAAGAAGAAAUUGAUCUUUUUCCUCAGGGUAUUCACUUAAUAGCACCUCUGAGACAUGGGUUGCAGUUAACUGUCUACGGUGUCAUUUUCACGUGGAUAAACUGUGGGAUAUUUGUAAAUAAAAGCAACCAAAAUACUAUCAUGCAACUUAUUUUCAGUGUGGGUUACUGGAGAGUUAAUUUGCCAGUGAGUCUGUCUAUUAACACAAGUCCUAAAUAUUUAUUCUGGAACAAAAAGCAAGAACAGAAUAAUCCAGGGGAAGAAAAAUAAAUGAGAAUAUUUUUUCCCACAGUGUAUCUGUAAUGGUGGGUUUCAUCCUAGAAUAUCUACAUUAGUAAUCCACAAUGAAUAAAACAUUAGCACCUUUCACCAUAAUAAUGCUUUCCUGAAAGAGUUCCUCAGCAUUCCUUCAAAUCUAUUAGACAAUAAAUUUGUCCUAAAAAAAAAAGAAAAAGAAAAAAAAAGAGAGCAAAAAGGCUUUCCCCUUUAAUAUUUUCUUCCUAUCUUCUAACAAACAAAAGACAGUGCUUUCAUCUGAGCAAUGGGAACUAUUUUAAAGGACAUUAACAGGAUUUUUCUGAAAGCAUGUAUUAUUAUCCCACUACUGGUGCUUUUAGUCUCAUUAUCAACGAGACAAAUCAUUUUUAUUCAACUCUAUUUAUACAUGUGGUUGACCAAGAGAAAAUGUUUUUUAAAAGACUCAAUGAGGUGUUACUUAAAUGUGGUUUUCAGCUUUAAGUGAUUUAUUAUCUAUAAAUUGAAAGAUUAAUUCUAGAAGGCUGUGGGACACUGCACUCUUUCUCCUCAUUGCAAGCUGUGUUUUAGCUAAGAUUACAGCAGGUGAAAGUUCUAAUAUCUGUUCUCCAGGCCUUAUAAAAUAAUAGCAUCCAGGAUCCAUUUGGUUCUCAUUAGAUCCAAGACUGAAGGAGCAUAAUCUUUUGAAGGAAGGAAAUCUCCCUCCCCCAAAUAACACACCACACUCCCACAGAAAUAUCUUAUAGGCAAGUUCUUUCUUCCCUCAAAAUAUGCACAGUAGGCACAGAAACCAAACUUCACGGACCUACCACUGUUCUAAAAUCCCCUGAUGUUUUAAUCUCAUUGGUGCUUUACAAAUUAAUGAUGUGUCUUAUUCUUCUUUUGCCUUCCAGUGUUUUUCCUGCUACUAUAUUUUAUAGCUCUGAAUUUGUGUGGUUUCUGCUUCCUCUUUUUUCUCCAUUAUGUCUCCAACUAUUCCUUUGAGCAGUGCUAUGGCUCUCUGGCAUAUUAGGCUAAAGAAUUAUUGUCACUAGUUUGGGAAGUCACUUCAGAAGAGGCAGGGAGUAAACACUCUCACAUCUAUGAUUCCUGCUUUCAUUUGUUCGCUGUUUUAUGUAGAUUAAGGUAUUCAGAAAUUCUCUUGCUCAGAAAUUCAUCAUAAUUCAGACCUAGGAGAUUCUGUCACAAUUUUCUCAAUAUAGAAGGCAUCAGGGAGCUGGUUCAGAACUUCACUAUUUUCACCCUCCAAAAUUGUAUUUUUCCAUUUCUUUCUCCAGGCCUUCAUAUCUUUUUCUGUGACCACAGAUGUUGUCUUAGUAUGAAAGGAAAAGGAAACUGUUAGCAACUCAGGCUAGGUAUAUAAUUGGCAGCAAAACAUUAUGCUUCUCAAGUCCAGAACUUCUUUUUUCCAUGGUACAUGAGAAGUAUAGACUUUCUGUCAUCACAAUUUAUGUCUGGAAUGGCAGGCUUAGGAAGGCUUUAAAGGUGAGCAGCCUGAGAUUUUCUUUAUUUAUCAGAUAAUUAAUUCAGAAGAAGCCGUGGGAGUUGAAGAAGAAAUUCUACUGAGUAUGUACCUGAGCAUGUUCAGGUGCCAAACUCAGUUCAAUCCAUCCUGCUGGUUCCUAACAAACUUUGAAGCGUCUUUAAAGAUUUCUUGAAGAGUGACAUACGAGAGUUAUUGCAGUGUUCUGGAAUGUGUUCAUCAGAUUAACAUCAAGGACAGAACAUAGGAAUAUCUUUCUUUGAUUAUUAACUCAGUAAUUUUUCAGUGGGCCUAUAAUAUGUAAAAAGGGGGAGCAAGUUUUUUUGCUAGAAUUCCAAGUCAUUACAAUGAUUCUUCCUACAUAAUCACUAUUUUGUUGCUGUAGUUCCAGAGUAGAGGCAUCUCAGAAAUAUCUCAGAUGGUUUUAGUUGCAAACACCCAAGCACAAUUAUAGUGAAUGUAGUGUAAAAGCACAGUUCACAGUAGACUUUGAGAGGUAGGUCAGCCCAGUAUAAAAAAAAAAUUAAAGCCAACAAACUUAUAUACUACCAUCAAAAAAGUAGGUAGCAGCUGUUGAAAAAUGUUAAUAUAUAUCUCAGGGAUAUCAAGGGUGCUGUCCUUCCAUCAAAAAACACAUUAGCAUUUCCAUGGUUGUUUGACUUGUCUGUUUUAAUGACCUAAUAUGGUUUUCUGCUUCUUACGGUGCCUUGACUGUAGUUUUGAGAGAUGAGACAAUCUCCCAUGCUGCAGAGACAGCUGCAGCUAUGCCACAUAAGUAUUUUCAGUCUUACCAGGUUAAGAAAUCUAUCUAUAUAACCUAUUUGACCAGUAUAAUCCUUCAUCUACAAGUUGGAAUCUUUCAUGCUAAAUAAGAGUUUUCCACUUCUUAUUUUAUCCUCUAUUGGUUUAAGUUCCAUUCCUUAAACAGAGGCAAGUGUAGCUGACAGGCUGAGAGAGCUGGGCUUGUUCAGCCUGGAGAAGAGAAGGCUGCAGGAUGACCUCAUUGCAGCCUUCCAGUACCUAAAGGGAGCCUAUAAACAGGAGGGGAGUCAACUCUGAAAGGGUAGAUAACAGCAGGACAAGGGGAAAUGGUUUUAAGUGGAAAGAGGGAAGAUUUAGGUUGGAUUUCAGGGAGAAGUUCUUUACAAUGAGAGUGGUAAGGUUCUAGAACAGUGUCGAUGGUUUAUGGGCUGGUCCGGCCCGGUUCCGUGACUAGUGGGGCGGAGGGAUUUUUUUUUGCAAAAUUUACGCCUCUGGAAAAGGGAAACAGGGAACCCCCCACAAAAAGAAUAAUUAAAAAAAACAACAGUGGCAACGAUCUGAGGAGAAACAAACUAUUUUACUAAAUAUAGUAUCAGAAUGCACAAUAACACACUGUAAUACAAUAUAAUUCAAUAUAAUUGUUAAAAAAAUCAAAUAUAAUUAAGAGAAGGAUUAUCCAAGAGCUAAAGGCCUUACACUAAUACUGAAACCUUGCAUGCAGUUGGGAGCAGCAGCGAGAUGAUUCAAAAGCGAGCACGAUGAGAUGAAAGAAGGCAGAGGACUCAGGUCAGGUGACCUACAGGCCUUAUAUCUGUUCCUCUGAGCAGGAAUGAUAACAGUACUUGAACAGUCUUCUGGGGAACGUAGUUCUUCUUCUCUUCUGGACAAGUACCCGUAACUAGAGCAUUUGCUCUUUAACUCCCAGUACACUGAUGAUGUUAUGAUAUGGAAUACCGAUAACCAAAAAUUAUAAAACCUUGACAAACAGACUGCCCAGAAAGGUUGUGGAUGCCCUGUCCCUGGAGGUGUUCAGGGCCAGGUAGGAUGGGACCCUGGGCAUCCUGGUCUACUAUUAAAUGUGAAGGUUGGUGGCCCUGCCUGUGGUAGGGGGGUUGGAGCUUGAUGACUGUUGAGGUCCAUUCCCACCCAAGCCAUUCUAUGAUUCUAUGUAGUUAAUUAGGACAGAAUGUGCAGGAUCCUGUCAUACAGCCAUCUGCCAUGCAGCUUAAGGGAACUUUUGGGCCAUUCAUUGUUUAUGGAAUGAGGUGAUUGACUCAUAGUCACACUUUUUAAUGCAUGCUUGAUUGACUCUCAGUUGUUGAACCAGGUGUCUACCAUUAGCUCUUUCAGCACUCAGUUUGAGAAAGAUUUGUGGUGGCUAUCUGAGCCAGGCCUGAGUUGUAACCAGCAAUGUACUCAUUAUCUGCCUUAGGUAGGCCGUGUGUUUAACAGUCAGGCUGAAGGAAGAAGCAGAGGGGCAGGGUAAAGCACAAUGUCACAGUGUGGCAUAUCUUUACCCUGAUGGUCCAGGCACAAUCACAUCUGUGAGUCUAGCAUAUUUUCAGUGUCUUGUUGAUACCUUCCCUACAUGGAGCAUUCCCAGACAUUUGUUGUCUAUCUGUACAAUAUUGAACACCAUCAGUCACUGAAUAUACACUUACUGCUAUACUGUGUAAGUAGCAUUUUAUUGAGGUUAAGUUGUCCGGAAAAGGCAUGUCUUGCUAGUGUGCUACUAAGACAUGCAGGAGGAGUUUUAUGUCCAAAAUGAAGAAUAGAUUAUCCACAUGAACAUCUUCAUUUUUCUCCAAAUUUUCAUCAGCAGAGGUUGCUGUCCUUUUCUCUGAAUCCUGGUAUGCUGUUGCUCCUUUUCAGGCUUAGUAGGAGCUUUUAAGCUUGUAUCUUGUAAAACAAGGAAACCUCCAAUAACGUGAAAUGUCGACUCACUAAAACUCUAAGGUUUCAGCCUUACUUGGUGGAAUUAGGUACUUAAAUGGGAACUCAGAGACAGAAGCUUAACAUCUACGUGAAAGGAAUGUUUUUUGCUUAUGUGACACUAUAUGACAACAGAAGAUUUAAGAGAUGUAUGAAUGUGGCACUUAGGGACAUGUUUUAGUGGUAGGCUUGUAUUGUUAAGUGGGCGGUUGGAUGUGAUCUGAUAGUUUUUUUCAACAUAAAUGAUUCUGUGAUUUUAUGAUUCUAAGAGCUAACAGUAAUAGAAAUGAAGUGGUACUGACAAAUAUAGCAUAUAUAUAUUAAGGACAGUCAGAUGGUGAUGAGAGCUAAAUUUAUUAUUAUGAUGAUUAUUAUCAUCAUUUAUUUUCUCCAUGAAAAACCACAAAACCCAAGAGAAAGCUAAUCAGUCAGAAGCUCAAGUGAAGGAUAGCAUCCAGACAUCUGUCAUGAAGGAGCAAAGGGUACUGAUGGACACUUGGAUAAAUAAGCAAAGACUCUUAUAAUCCCCAGCUAACCUGUGAGUUCCACAUGUUCAGUUCUUAUCUGGUUUCACACUGAGUAGAAGGCUUAGCAAGCACAUUACUUGUCCUCAUGACUCUGAAUUUUUAUCAGAUCUGUGAUGAUUUUUUCCAAGAGAUCAACUGAAUCAAGAGAUCCAGGCCCUUCCACAGAUGUGGUCCUCCAAAUAUUUCUGUAAAAUUUCCAUAUGUCUUCCUUUCCAAAACUGUCCAAAUCCAUCCUGUGGAUGGCAUAAGACUUUAAAAACUGAAAGAUAAAUUUACUUCUUAAUUAGGUCAUUGUAUAUUUAUGGUAUCAAGGUAUGUAACUACAACCUCUUGUUUCUACAGACCAUAGUGAUAGCGAAGAAAACUAUUUAAUACUUUGCUCAAAAGGCUAAUUCAAUAAAUAUUUUCCAAACUGGCUACAGACAGGAACAACAGGAACAUCCCUGAUGUCAGACUGGAGACCAGAGAGUAGAGUGAAAGCUGGCAGGAGCACAAGGAGAGUCAGCACCGUGGCUGGGUUAUUUCUUCCUGAGCAAGAUAAGGCCAAAGCCAAAAAGAGAUUCAUGCUGACGUGCAGAGGCAUUUUUUUUUUUCCUGGGAGAGUGACAGGUUCCAAAUUUUUUUUUUUUUUUUCUUUUUGAGUGGAGAUAAAAUCCCAAAUUUUAACACUGCAGUAAAUACCAAUGAAAUUAAAGAAGGUUAUCUUUGAGAGCUUGGAAUGUGUUGCUUAACUUUGCUAUAGUGCUUUGUUUUGUUUCUGAUCUCUAGAACAGAGUAAAAUAUCAUUAACAAACAAAGUUUUGAACCAAAUAAUUAAAGUCUUGGAAAGGACAAGAUGGAUUUAUUGUUUCACAAUAUUAAAAUACUUACAAUUAUCUUUUAUAAGAUAUCCAGUUCUGUGCUAACUAAAUAGCAGUUUUUACAGUCACAGACAAAGGAUUCUUGUCACGUUCUAUCCAGAGAUACAAAAAAAAAGUGUGAGAAGCUUUAACAGUUCUGAUAAAUCCUUCAUUAGAUCCAAAGCCCUGGUUAUUACUGUAAUACUCAGACACAUACAAACUCUUGCAGUACUUUCUGCUAUAAAUAGUUUUUUAAAACGUGAUCUCAAAGACUGAAUAUUGUAAAGGAAAUAAAUUCAUAGCUCCAUAUUUUUUUUAAAAAGUACAUAUUUUUGAUACACUGAAGCCAUACUUUUUGUGAGGUCAGAUAUGGUUUCAUAUAUGACUUGAGGAACAGCCAAGAACUUUACACAAGAGAUCCUCGCGCAAUCACUUCAAGUUCUGCUCUGCUCUUUCAAGCCAGAGUAUUUGUACUUUUUUUUUUUCCUCAGCCUUCCCUUUUUUUCCUCAGCCUUUUCCUCCACAAGUCAAUUCUAAAAUCUGACAGAUGCUGAAGUACAACAAUUAAGAAAGUCACUUGUAGAUAUACUUAAGAUAUGUCCCUGAAGAGCAGUGAGAUGUGUGAAUGCGAAUGUGUAUCUGGUUCAUCCUCCCUUGGUCAUUUUGUCUAAGGAUAGUAUGUAUUUUUCUGGAAUGCACUGCAGGAAUUAGAAAUCUCAAUCAACUCUGAAAUGUAAGCUCUGAGCUCAACCAAAAGUCCUUGGCCUAGUGUAAGUACAACUUAGCAACAACAAAACAUCAGUGUGUUAUCAACAUGGCACAGUACCAUGGUUCUACUAGGAAUAGAAUUAACUAUCCCGGGUGGAAGAAACAAAGACAUCAAGAAACACCAAUGUCCUUUAAAUCAGUAAUAGUCAACACAGAAACAUGUGAAACAUCCUAACGAAUUGUAUGAUGAGCAAUUUAUGGAUAAUUGCAUUUAACAGUGAGACGUUAUUUGCUUAAGAGGUGAUAUGGGAAUUUUAAGUUUCACAAUAAUAAUGAUUAAAAAUAUAUAUAUAUAUUUCUACCACUGUAUUUAUGAACACUAUGAUUUUGAAGGAGGCAGCUAACAAGACAGACAGCAGUGGGCAAUAUUUUGAAGAUCUUAAUUCUUAUAUUCAUUGCAGAACUUUCAGAAAUCCUUUUAAUGCUCAGUGUAUGAUCUUUCUCCUCUCUCUCCUUUUUCUUUUCGUAGGAAAAUGAAGGAAAAAAAAUGAAAAAGAAAAAAAGAAAAAAUGUUUGAAGUAGAAGUUUGAAUUAGGGACUGAUGACAGAUUCAGAACAUAAAAACCUUUUAUGCAGAGGUUAAAUACUAAAGUUAGAAAAAUUCAUCUCAAGGCUGAGUUGCGUAUUGAUGAUCACUUGCCACCCUAUUAGUUCUGGUUAUUUUUGGAACAAAGUCAAACCGAACAUUGUCUGCUUUACUGCAGGAAUGCAGUCUUGCUACCAUCUAGUGGUUAAAAUAAAUCUUUGCACUAAUCCUUCCAUGCUGAAUAUUCAAGUGAUAGAGGCUGUGAGAAGUGCCCAUGUCUGAGUAGAAAAGUAUGACUUCUUAAUUAUGAUGUAUAGUACAAAAGGAAAACUGUAUCUUAGACCUCUACAGAUUUCUAAAGAAAAGCCUGUGCAUCAUUUUACGUUGAUGCUUUCUAACAUAUCUUCAAAGACAGACAUAGUGGCUUACUCUGAUAUGAGUAAUGAGAAUUGAUACCUAAUGGGAAAAAAAAAAGAAGAAGAAGAAGUUAUACUGGAUGUUGGAUGUGAAGAUAGAUAUUGUCUAAAGAUUCUUUACUUCAUCUAGAGUUUAACAGGUAGAUAAGACUAGUUAAAUAAAAAUAGAGGGAAUCACACAGGACGUGACAGUAACAUAAUGGACAGCCAUAAAACGCUGUAAAUAAACAGCUUGAUCACAGUUCAUAGCUCUCUUCACUCUUGUUGCUUCUGCAUAGUCAAAUUCAUUGUCUUUUGGAUGAGAAAAUACAUUUGUUUCUUAUUCCUAGGUAGGUGAUGUCUUGUGGAUUUUUACUAAAAGCUACAACACUGGUUCAGCCUACAACACUGGUUCAGCCAUCCAGUCACAGGCCUACAAAUAUAGCUGAUAAUAGAAUAAAAAUUGAACUCAGGAAUGCUGAAUGAUUUGGAACUUCUGGUAAUGGAGAGGAGUCCAGUUAUUAUGAACCUUUUUUUUUUUUUUUCUUUUUUUUUUUUUUGUUUGCUUCCCUUAGUUAAUCUACGCAUAUUGAAAACAAGGCAUAGUAUUAUUAUUUUUGAGACAUCUCUGGAAUGUGGAAAAUAUUAUUAACUUAUUAAUUUGAUAUAAUUCAAAAUAGUAUGUUUGCAGUAUUUCAAGGUCAUGCUCGGGAUCAGCACCUCACUGCAGCUUUCCUUGUGUUAAUAGUGAGGGACUAGAAACUUUCCUAAGUGACUUUUCUAAGCAAGUCAGAAUAAACCUGGCAAUAGUUAAAAUUAUUUGUUUUUAUCGGCAGGGAAAUCAAGGCACAUAAUAUUUUUCAAGAAUUCUGAUUCAGUUCAGCAUAGAGAAUAAUACUGGCAAUUUCCACAGCCUUGUCCUCACCACAGGCUCAGACAGUAAUCUAUAGUUGAUUUCAAAAUUGCUUUCUUGUGUUAGUAAAGGCUUUUAGGUUAAAGCCUUAUUUUUUCAAUGCCAAAAUAUUUAUUUCAAAAGUAUUUCUACAGUCUCUUUGGAUUCCUCAAUAUUAAAAGUGUUAGUGCUUAUUUUCUUAUGUAUUCCAUACAAUGAAGCCUUUGCUUCUUUUCUUAGUCUUAGGAAAAAAAGUCCAUCCUAAAGGUUAUAUCUAACUGGAAGAAAAUACUGUAAAUAAAAGAAAAGGUAAAUUAAUAAAUACCACCAGAAUAGGUGAAGGAGAAGUAAAUGCAAAUCAAAAACAGACAUAGACUGAGGAGUGCUCUUGAAAAGUUUGGAAAUUAAAGUGUUUUCCUUGCCAAGUUUUAAAUGUUUGACCUUAUGCAAGUGUUGCUUUCAGCUCACAAGAACUGAACAGACUAGAAAUUUCAAUUAAAAUGUGAACGUGAAAGUAAGAGCCAUCACAUCUGUAGCUUUUGGCAGGCUAAAAUGUACAACCUGCACAUGUUCAGUCUCCCUACAGCCUCUUCUACUGCUGAGCCAGUAUCUGAGGCAAUGUCAAUUGUAUGAAGUCAUAAAGCAAGAGUCCUUGUGGAAUUGUACUUGUUCCAGGGAAUGUACUGAACAGCACAGUUCCUGGCUUAUCAUUUUGAACUAGAAAGCUCACAUCAUGUCUGCAGGCUCAGGGCUUCUCCUGCCUUAUAACCCCAGCAUGUUCAAUGUGUUUUCAUGAACUUGAGGACAGAUGGAUAAACAGUAGUCAACAUGUAUCUAGCUACUCAGUGAACAGAAAUGUUAGCUUCAUCAAGAAGCUGAUAGAAGCUGAUUUUUUGCAGGACUAUGCCAAAGCUGAAGGGUUUCAGGCUCAAUAUUGUUUCACUCAUGUAUUAUAGAAGAAUAAGCAUUUCCAAAAACAAUUCUCCAAACUAAGAAACACUAAGGCAAUUUGGUAAUCCAUUGCAUAGAAGCUGCUUUGAGAAAGGGAUUACAAAGUUGGAUCCAGAAGCCUUAGCAAGGACAUGAUUUUUCAGUGAAAGUCUUCAUAUUCUGGUUCCCAAGGGUCAAGCUACAAGAUAGACUGUAUAACAGUGAACAGAUCACUGUUAGGCCAGCUAUCACAGGUCAAUAACCAACAAGAAGUUUGGUGGAGAAUUUGGGGUAAUAAUUAUAGAAAGCUUUUGUGGACUGGAUCUCUAUUUUAAUCUGUGCCUUCUCCUGAUGAUAGGAUCAAGUUCAAUUUCAUCAUCUGUAACAGAUGCUUGUGUUGAAUUUCAUAGAAGUUUCUGUGAUAGAAUUUGCAGUCUCUUCAGAAAAUUUUUUCUAGUGCUUUGCAUUUCAAGUCUUUUCUGUAGUCCAGUCACAGUUAUUAUGUCAGUAUUAACAGAGAAAGAAGAGCUUCCCAUUUUUCCUUUUUUAAAAUUAUUUCUGCACAUAUUUAUUUAAUGUUUGAAUGUUAGUAAGUCACCCUGUAGUUUUCUCUUUGUUCACUGAGCAACCCUAAUUAAAUAUGUGACCACAAUAGGAAAAAACAAAAGUCAAUUUUCUUUGUAUAAUCAAGGUCUAAGGGCAUACUGAGAUACCAAAUUGAUCUGAAUGUUUUUAUUUCUGAAGAGGGGCAUUUGUAGAUUGUUACAAAUACAAAACUAGGUCACUGGCUGUCAUAGUUCUAGUGAAACCAGGUUCAGCAAUUUUGUGUUACUUUCUGAUAGAAAUCUGCAAAUCUCUGUAGAGUUGCUUAUUCCCACAAUAAAACCACAAUAAGCACUGCAAUAACAAAAGACAUGUUUGUGCACAUGCACAUAUAUAUAUAUGUAUAUAUGUAUAUAUUAAUGAAAAGAAAUGGAAAAAUUCCGAGAUAAACUUAAGUGAACAUGAAUGGAUGUAAUUCAUAUCUUUCCAUCUUAACAACCCUGCAUUAUCAGGAGUUUAUACCUCAUCUACUAUAAGCAGAGUCACAUGAAUGUGUAAAUUUGACUGUGACUACACUUUUUGUAGAUCUUCUCUUCCUAUGCUUAUUUUGGACUUACCAGAGAAUGACUGUCUUGUUUCACGUUGUGUUCUGCCUCUGUCAUGAGUUUUAGAUCUCACUUUCAUCUGAAAACUCAAAAUACUCUCUCACAGCAUCCCAUAGAAACCCAUCCUUUUGGGAUGCUGCUGUUGCAGAAAUCUCAGAGUUUACUGAAACCAACUACAUACACUACAGAAGUCAUGAAGUAUGUCUUCACUUCAUCUCUGAGCACAUCUGAUACCAUGACCCUGGCCCACCAAUGAACUUCCAUGUCAGCCACUUUCUUUUUCCAAAGUCUGAAUCCAAAGGCAUGUAGGACUGGCUUCUCUGUUCAGUGGUCAUGCAUGAGAAGCAAAGAGUUCAAAACAGACUAAAUAACCUUCCUUUACUUUGUCAGUGACACUAUCCUGCAGAAGUGGGGUGCUUUAUCUGAGUCUCAACAGAAAAUACUUCACCGAAUUUGUAUAUCUUUGUUACCACAUGGAUGGUGCUGUUGCACCACUGCAAUGCUUGUCUUCCUUCAAAUUGUUCUGGCUGCUCCUGCUACAUUAAUACAAGGUCUUUUAAAAUAAAAACACUGACAGAUGGCAUUUCUUUUAUUAAUCCUCCAUUGUAGUUCUCUUUUAAUUAUAGUAGCAUAUCAUGGUUCUAGACAUGAACAGAAUCUUAAUAAAGUGAUAAAGUUGUCUGAAUCUUUUAUUGACAGCUUGUCUCUUGCAUUGCCAGAGAAAUUUUUUUUAGUCUUACCUAAAUUAUGGGGAUAGAGAAGAAAACAAACCAGGCUUUCUCCUUCCAAAAGUUACAAUAGAAGUGUCACUGAAGUAAUAUAAUGAUUAUAGGCUGAAGAGAAAUUCAAGAUUAUCAGUUCUUGCUAAUAAUUUUCACAGAUAAAAAAUAUCCACUCCAAGGCACCCUUCAAAUAUUUGUCAAGCACAACUUUUUUGCCAUACUUUUCAGGUACUGUACCCAAGGAUUCUAUGAUGCAUAGAUUUACAAUCUUUAAACAGAGUCAGGGACUACAGUAAAAUUCUUGUGUGUGUUUGUGUUAAAAAUGAAUCCUUAAGCAUCUAUUUGUCUUUACUGUAUUUAAGUCAAAAUAUUCCUAAAGUGUAGACAAUGUUUUCCAACUCUAAUGGAAGUAAAUCUUUAAGAUUAAGAAAAAAAGAUGUGAAGGGUAUUUAGGUAUCAAACUGAAAUUCUCAAGGUCUGAGCCUUAAAUGUCUCUUAUAUACUUAUCUGUUAAGCUCAUAUUACCAUACAGGUAAUCCAGAGACCUCACUGCUGUUUUAAUGUCCAACCUAAAUUAUUGAUUCUGCAUUAAUAUCUUUGUACUUCAUGUAUAAAAAAAAAAAAAAAAAAAAAAAAAAAGGCAAUGACAUAAAACAUUAGAUCUGUCCAGAAAAACUAAAAGGAAUAACAAUCUUUUUCUUAAAAUAUUACAAAGAUCCAGAAUAAUUUAUAGAUAGAAAAUAUUUUAGCUUCCUUUUAUUUGUACUUGUUAUGAUAAAUUAUCUUUCAGAAAGACAACCAAUGAAGUGAAGUUGGCAAAAGCAACUUCCUGGUUUCCAGUUAACACUUCUUUUUUUUUUUCAAUGAGGACAUAACACUUGAGCAAAGUUUUUUUCCCUUUCAUAGCAUAUUCUCCUAUCACACAUCUCUAUAAUGUAAAGAAAUAUCAUACCAAGAGACAACAUAGCUUACAGGAUCUGUGGGAAGGGACUAGACCUUUUGUCUAUCUUUGAUUAGCAGGUGGGAGAGAAAUGAAGGAAGAUUAGAAAGUGGGAGAGAGAUGAUGGUUGAAUUUAUACUGAGCCAAAAUUAGACAUAAUAUUUGACUUCAGCAAAUAUAAUUAUUUCCAAUAAUUAGGAGAGUAUUUUGUAUUCAAAGACCUUCUUCUGUUCAAGAAAGAUAACUGUCACGGAGUUACCUAGAUAGAUCUGUGCCCGUGACAGGGGGCCGGUAGGCUUGUGGGCCCCCCUCCCCCUUCACUUCCCGAGAAAAACGAAGCGGUGGCAACAAUCUAAGAAGGAGAACUUAUUUUACUAACUAUG